RNAcentral lists this ribosomal RNA (1245 nucleotides) under metagenome. Its description in RNAcentral is "bacterial LSU rRNA". It matches the Rfam family "Bacterial large subunit ribosomal RNA", at positions 1564 to 2818 of the family's 2925-position model. The record is from RNAcentral.
UGAGUACGAGAUGCUACGGCAUCGAAGCAGUCUAUGUCAUACUUCCAAGAAAAGCUUGCACUGUCAUAAACAAAGAAUGCCUGUACCAUAACCGACACAGGUGGGUAGGUAGAGUAUACUAAGGGGCGCGAGAUAACUCUCUCUAAGGAACUCGGCAAAAUGACUCCGUAACUUCGGGAGAAGGAGUGCCUUAUUUCUAAGGUUGCAAUAACAAGAUCCAAGCAACUGUUUACCAAAAACACAGGUCUCCGCUAAGUCGUAAGACGAUGUAUGGGGGCUGACGCCUGCCCAGUGCCAGAAGGUUAAAGAAAUUGGUUAGCAUUAGCGAAGCUGAUAACUGAAGCCCUGGUGAACGGCGGCCGUAACGAUAACGGUCCUAAGGUAGCGAAAUUCCUUGUCGGGUAAGUUCCGACCCGCACGAAAGGCGUAAUGAUUUGGAUACUGUCUCGGAGAGGGGCUCGGUGAAAUAGACUUGUCUGUGAAGAUGCGGACUACCUGCACCUGGACAGAAAGACCCUAUGAAGCUUUACUGUAACUUGAGAUUGAAAUUGGACUUUAUUUGCGCAGUAUAGGUGGGAGGCGUUGAGAAUAAUCUUGCGGGAUUGUUGGAGCCAUCAGUGAGAUACCACUCUUGUAAUGUUAGAUUUCUAACUUUGUAUCAUUAUCUGGUCAAAGAACAGUUUCAGGCGGGCAGUUUGACUGGGGCGGUCGCCUCCCAAAGGGUAACGGAGGCGCACAAAGGUUUCCUUUGAACGGGUAGAAAUCGUAUCUAUAGUGUAAAGGCAUAAGGAAGCUUGACUGUGAGACCUACAAGUCGAGCAGGGACGAAAGUCGGUCUUAGUGAUCUGACGGUGCUGAGUGGAAAGGCCGUCACUCAACGGAUAAAAGUUACUCUAAGGAUAACAGGCUGAUCUCCCCCAAGAGUUCACAUCGACGGGGAGGUUUGGCACCUCGAUGUCGGCUCAUCGCAUCCUGGGGCGGUAGUCCGUCCCAAGGGUUGGGCUGUUCGCCCAUGAAAGCGGUACGCGAGCUGGGUUCAGAACGUCGUGAGACAGUUCGGUCCAUAUCCGGUGUAGGCGUUAGAAUAUUGAGAGGAGCCUUCUCUAGUACGAGAGGACCGAGAAGGACAUACCUCUGGUGUACCAGUUAUCGUGCCAACGGUAAACGCUGGGUAGCUAUGUAUGGAGUGGAUAACCGCUGAAAGCAUCUAAGUGGGAAGCCCACCUCAAGAUAAGUAUUCUCACC